This 819-nucleotide long non-coding RNA is filed under the name Mustela putorius furo (domestic ferret). RNAcentral's name for it is "lncRNA (ENSMPUG00000030330.1)". Lineage: Eukaryota; Metazoa; Chordata; Mammalia; Carnivora; Mustelidae. The record is from RNAcentral.
UUAGGUUUUGCAGCAAAUGCUCUGGAAUGGAGAAGCCACGGACUGCCUGGGGGCAUGUGCUGGAAACAACAGGAAGGUGAGAACAGUGGACCAACCACAUAUUUUGGACUUAACCCAGUGAAUGGCAACUGUAUGCAUGGAUUGAGAGAGAGGGAAGAGAGAACGAGAGAGAAAGGGCUUGAUCUCAAGACUCCAAGAUCAAGAGCUGCGCUGAGAUGGACAGCUGGACACUUGACUGACCAAGCCACCCAGGCACCCCCACAACUCGAGCUCUUUUAAUCAAAAGCAAGUGGCAGGGUUGGGAGAAGGGAAUUCCAUGGAUUUCUCACAGACUUCAAGAAUUUGAAGAGCUAAUCCCAGGGACUGUGUGGUGCCCAGCUGCCACAUUAAUGAAACUCAGCUCUCGACGCCCAGUCUCUGUGCCCCUUCAUUUAAAUCUUUGACAGAGAAAUACCAUUAUUUGAUUUGGCUUAGGAGCCAGGCUCUCCCAUUCCUCAUGAGACAGUGGGAGGAACCUCACUUAUUUCUAGUCAUAAAGAAGGGGUAAAGUGGGGUCUGUUGGAUUCUUCUUUUAAGGGGUUGAACCCUUUCACUCCCCACCCCCAUUUUAUUUCACCAAAGUAGAGCAGAAUAACAUCCUUACCUGUUUACUUUCUUUCUGUUGUCAUGGAAGAGCCUGAGGGGGUCCAGGGCAGUGAUGGGGCAGGGACCUCCAGCAUCUGCAAAGUUCUCAAGCCCUUUAUCCUGCUCCUGAUAUAUCCGCCUGGUUCCACCGGCUACAAAUGAUAGAGAACCAACAUACCCCAAAAUGGUGCAGCC